UUUGAAAUCUGGCGGUCUCAGGCCGUCCGAGUUGUAAUCUAGAGAGGUGUUUUCCGUGCCGGACCGCGUACAAGUCCCUUGGAACAGGGCGUCAUAGAGGGUGAGAAUCCCGUCCGUGACGCGGACUUCCGGUGCUCUGUGAUACACCUUCAAAGAGUCGAGUUGUUUGGGAAUGCAGCUCAAAAUGGGUGGUAAAUUCCAUCUAAAGCUAAAUACAGGCGAGAGACCGAUAGCGAACAAGUACCGUGAGGGAAAGAUGAAAAGAACUUUGGAAAGAGAGUUAAACAGUACGUGAAAUUGUUGAAAGGGAAACGCUUGAAGUCAGUCGCGUCUGCCGGGACUCAGCCUUGCUUCUGCUUGGUGCACUUCUCGGUAGAUGGGCCAGCAUCGAUUUUGGUCGCCGGAAAAGGGUGGGAGGAAUGUGGCAGCUUGCUGUGUUAUAGCCUUCUAUCGUACACGGUGACUGGGAUCGAGGAC
RNAcentral lists this ribosomal RNA (477 nucleotides) under Aporpium sp. TUFC10589. RNAcentral's name for it is "eukaryotic LSU rRNA". It matches the Rfam family "Eukaryotic large subunit ribosomal RNA", at positions 114 to 591 of the family's 3401-position model. Lineage: Eukaryota; Fungi; Basidiomycota; Agaricomycetes; Auriculariales; Aporpiaceae. The record is from RNAcentral.